CGCUUCACUGCUCUCUCUGCUUGUUUUAAACGACAGUUGACUUCAGUCUCUAGUGAUUCACUUACAGAAUGGCCUCCCACUGUCUGCUGAUGUGCGUUGCGCUGGUCUUUGUUCACUAUUCUAGUGGACAGAAUAUUCUGACUCAGACACCACAGGUUCAGACUUUCCUAGCAGGACAAAGUGUCUCAAUCAAGUGCAAAGCCCAAAGCUCUAUAAGCAACAACUACCUGCAUUGGUACCUGAUGAGACCUGAUGAAAGGCCUAAACUUCUGAUCUAUAAUGCAAACAGCCGUGUCUCUGGAAUCCCAGCACGUUUCACUGGAAGUGGAUCAGGGACCGACUUCACUUUGACCAUCAGUGAUAUGCAGACUGAGGAUGCAGGAGUCUAUUACUGUCACCAGCCUUGGGGCUCUGACACACAGUGAUCAACAGUCGAACAAAAACCUCUCUGAUUCAGAAGUGCAGGGCAUGACACAGGUGCAGAGAGAGGAACUGCAGAAA
Erpetoichthys calabaricus (reedfish) is the source of this 501-nucleotide non-coding RNA. The record is from the annotation of a RefSeq genome assembly. NCBI's taxonomy places the organism in Eukaryota, Metazoa, Chordata, Cladistia, Polypteriformes, Polypteridae.